AAAGUAUAUCAGGGAUCUUGCAACAUUAGUCGUAGCAUAUGGGAUUAGUAUCAACCUUGUUGAGGUUACAUGGAAAUCGAAGCUCAAAGCUCAGUUCCCAAGUCCGAAUGAGUACUCUUCCUUCAUGGGUGACUUCUCUACUGCUACUGGGAUAGCUACUUUUACGAUGAUGCUGUUAAGUCAGUGGAUCUUUGACAAAUAUGGUUGGGGAACAGCGGCUAAGAUAACACCAACAGUCUUGCUUCUUACUGGAGUUGGAUUCUUCUCCCUGAUUUUGUUUGGUGACCCCCUUGCCCCGACCCUUGCUAAGUUUGGGCUCACUCCUCUUCUAGCAGCUGUCUAU
This 343-nucleotide unclassified non-coding RNA is filed under the name Hevea brasiliensis (rubber tree). The record is from RNAcentral. Lineage: Eukaryota; Viridiplantae; Streptophyta; Magnoliopsida; Malpighiales; Euphorbiaceae.